GCUUCGAUGGUCUAAUGGUUAAGACGUUGAGUUGUGGCCUCAAAGACCCAGGUUCGAUUCCUGGUCGUUGCA
Molecule: transfer RNA, 72 nt
Filed under: Orbicella faveolata
Lineage: Eukaryota; Metazoa; Cnidaria; Anthozoa; Scleractinia; Merulinidae
Description: tRNA-His
Rfam family: tRNA
About the family: Transfer RNA (tRNA) molecules are approximately 80 nucleotides in length.
Source: RNAcentral